AGUGAACGCUGGCGGUAGGCCUAACACAUGCAAGUCGAACGGCAGCACAGUAAGAGCUUGCUCUUACGGGUGGCGAGUGGCGGACGGGUGAGGAAUACAUCGGAAUCUACUUUUUCGUGGGGGAUAACGUAGGGAAACUUACGCUAAUACCGCAUACGACCUACGGGUGAAAGCAGGGGAUCUUCGGACCUUGCGCGAUUGAAUGAGCCGAUGUCGGAUCAGCUAGUUGGCGGGGUAAAGGCCCACCAAGGCGACGAUCCGUAGCUGGUCUGAGAGGAUGAUCGGCCACACUGGAACUGAGACACGGUCCAGACUCCUACGGGAGGCAGCAGUGGGGAAUAUUGGACAAAGGGCGCAAGCCUGAUCCAGCCAUACCGCGUGGGUGAAGAAGGCCUUCGGGUUGUAAAGCCCUUUUGUUGGGAAAGAAAAGCAGCAGGUUAAUACCCCGCUGUUCUGACGGUACCCAAAGAAUAAGCACCGGCUAACUUCGUG
RNAcentral lists this ribosomal RNA (492 nucleotides) under uncultured bacterium. Its description in RNAcentral is "partial 16S ribosomal RNA". It matches the Rfam family "Bacterial small subunit ribosomal RNA", at positions 29 to 507 of the family's 1533-position model. The record is from RNAcentral.